GGAGAGGUGGCAGAGUGGUCGAUUGCACCGGUCUUGAAAACCGGAGUGCGGGAAACCGUACCGAGGGUUCGAAUCCCUCCCUCUCCG
RNAcentral lists this transfer RNA (87 nucleotides) under Parcubacteria group bacterium. RNAcentral describes it as "tRNA-Ser". It matches the Rfam family "tRNA". From Rfam's summary of the family: Transfer RNA (tRNA) molecules are approximately 80 nucleotides in length. Their secondary structure includes four short double-helical elements and three loops (D, anti-codon, and T loops). The record is from RNAcentral.